UAGGCGCGGGCGAUUACUUCCUGCUUCCUGCAUGUUUGACGUCGCGUGUCGUUUUGCCCGGCUGACUCUCGCGUGCAGCACAUACAGCUACAGAGAAAAGUAGCUAACGUUAGCUGAACCUGGAGUAACUAAUACUUGAAAGACUAUGGAAGAAAUUCAGCCACCGACACCCGGCCAACUAAAUGGUGGCACAACCAGGAAGAGAGAAGAGUACCUGGAAUGGCCAGAGUACUUCAUGGCUGUAGCCUUUCUGUCAGCCCAAAGGAGCAAAGACCCAAGCUCACAGGUGGGGGCAUGUAUAGUAAACCAGGAGAAUAAGAUAGUUGGCAUUGGAUACAAUGGUAUGCCCAAUGGCUGUGAUGAUGACCUGCUACCCUGGUCCCGUUCUGCAGAUGACCGGCUUGACACUAAAUACCCGUAUGUGUGCCAUGCAGAGCUGAAUGCCAUUAUGAACAAGAACAGUGCUGAUGUGAAAGGCUGCACCAUGUAUGUGGCUUUGUUCCCCUGCAACGAGUGUGCCAAGCUCAUCAUCCAGGCAGGUAUUAGGGAUGUGGUCUUUCUUUCUGAUAAGUACCAUGACACUCCGGAGAUGGUCGCUUCCAGAAGGCUGCUCAGCAUGGCAGGCAUACAAUGCAGUGAACAGCAGCAGUCAUGACAUGCAGGAGGAUGGGGGUGAUGACAAAAUGUUUGAGGGCAGUCCACAGUGCUGCAAGCCGUGCCAAAGGCUUUAUGGUUCAUAGUGUUAAAGGCAGUUCAAGCCCAAGAGGACUCAGAUUGUCAUUGAUUUUAAUUCCAUUAACCACCCUGGAAUGCUUAACAGCGCGACCAAGUGAAAACGCAAACGACUCACCUUGGGGAGCUGCUGAAUGAGGCGGGGAAGCAGAGGAAGACUGACAUGAUUGAAAGGGACUUUGAUGCCUCUUUUCUCUGUCUUCUUGCCCCCUGCUUUGUCCAAAGGAAAACUCAAGGACACCUUGACAUCUUUUGAUAUUUUGAUUAACCAGAUAUUCAAGAUACUUUAAUUUGAUGCUUCACCCUUUGUGGCUGACUCUGGUGGAGGGUCUUUAAAUGGUGCUUUCACAUUUUUUUCUUUUAAAACUCCCUUUGGGUUUAGGAAUUCACAAGUACACUGAACACACUUUCUUGAGUGUUUGAUUUUAAAAUCUUUUGUGUUCCAUCAGAUCUUCUCAUGGCUUUCAGACCAGGUGAAAACCUGAAAUAUUUUUUUUCCUCCUUCAAACAUGGUUUCAGACUAAUACAGAUGCACCUCAAUAUUCAGUUUAUUUGACCUUUCACAUUCACAAUGGAAGCUGCCCAGUAAAUCAGUGAAUACUGGGAGCUGCUCAGUGUCACUGUUGGCCCUUGAGCAUCCGUGUUAGCAGUUUGGUUUUCAGGGGGUACAAGCUGUGUGAACAUUAAUAUUUAAUGAGAACAUUGUAAAGAAUGGCUAGCCUUUCUAAUCAUCCAACCACAAUACAAAGUUGCCUUAUCUUUACAUAUAUAUGUUACUGUGUGCAUAUGGGAUUUUUAAUAUAUUCCCUGUAGGGCAUAUAUAGCCUUAGUUUUAACAAUCAUUUCAGCAUUGUGUUCUGAGAAGUGCUGCUGUCUUCAGACAACGUUUCUGUAAUUGGAAUGUGAGGGUUAGGGUGUUUAGUAAUGUGCCAGCAGAUUCUUUUCUAAUUAUUACUCAAAACAGUUUUUAUUUUAGAUUUCCUUCGUUUUACUAAAUGGCUUUUAAAACAUGCUCAUUUACCACAGUCGUCCAAGAGUCUUCCUGCCAUUAACUUGAAAAUAGUAUUUAUACUUUUGCUGUUGUACUCUCUAAUAUGCUGUUACAGUGAAACGAUAUAAACGCUAAUCGUAUGUUCAUAAUUUACCGUACAUGUGAUUUCCAAUAAAUGACUGGAAACCACUUCUCAAUUCCGUCUUCAUCAUCUGUCAUUUUUACUUCAACCAUAUCAGCUGUCAGUGCUGUUGGAACCAAUAAAACUGUGGGACCACA
RNA transcript from Dicentrarchus labrax (European seabass), 2002 nucleotides. It is a transcript of the gene named dCMP deaminase, with no coding region annotated. Lineage: Eukaryota; Metazoa; Chordata; Actinopteri; Moronidae. The transcript is spliced from 7 exons. The record is from RefSeq and is a predicted model, not a curated record.